CAGCCGAUAAAAAAAGGAAAACCGAUCCCGGUCCCGAAUUUCUUCCCCAACCUCCCCACUCCCUGCAUCUCCGUCCCGCAACCGCGGUCGCGCCCACUCCCCGGACCUCCCUGCCGCUGCGCGCCAUCCCCCGGCCCCGCCCCGCCCCGUCUCCCCUGCCUUCAUCCCCGACACCAUCCCGGACCUUCGUCUGAAGCAUCCGUCACAUCCAGAUCCACCCGCCGGCGACGCCCACCGCCGGCACCCCUCUACCCACUACCUUCCCGGCGGCUCCGCCUGCGUACCACCGCCGGCGCGCCCCUGUGCCCAGUCGCUGUUGCUGCCUCCCCACCCGCGCCCACCUCCUGGCACCCAUGGCCGCCAUCGCCAAGACCUUCCCUCCCCAACGAGGCUACACCUAGCCAGAGGCCUGCUGUUCUCCAACGCCUGGACUGACGCAGUCAACCGUGCGCCGGCAACGCGCAACCGGUCACCAUGGAACCCGCGUGCAGGCAUUCGUCCAUGGUUGAUAGCCUCAACCAUGGCGGUCCAUCCCCACAUGCCGCCGCUGGCCGUUGCCGUCCCUGACCACCAGACAAGCACCGCCGCCCCUGCAUCUCCGGCCACAUCGACCUUCUCAAGAGGGCUACCUUGACCUUCCCGGGGAAGGUUCAUCCAUGGAGCGGCCGCUGCCGCCACUCCACUCCCGCGCUGUGCCUGGCUUGCCGCAAGCGUCCGCCCCCCAUCACCAGUGCGCUGCCACCGCAUGGAGCUUCCAGCGCCAAGAUUCCCUUGUGCGCCAUCAGCUACCACCUAGGUUGCGUGGCUACUUCCCACCCCGUUAUGCUUCAGAUUCUGUAGAGCUUCAGGUUCAGAGCUUUUCACUUCUGAAAUUCAGUAAGUUGCCUUGGGUGAAUGCUGCGUCUGGUUCAGUUGCAAGGAGUCCUCUGUUUUGCUGUUGUUGUCUGUCUACUUCUGCUUUAUAGUUUAAUUUGAGCCAUUAUAGAACUGAUGGAGACUAGUAAUGGAUCAGCCAUACUUCCUCUCGGUAUGUAGUUUGUUUAGUCUAGUAUGUUGUUUUGUGCAGGUGAAGGGAAGGACUACCUGAGCGCUACCAGCAGUACAAGGAGUUUAGGGCCUAUUCGGUUUGGAGGAUUUUCAUAGGAAACACAUAGGAACAAGGAUUCCAGAGGAAAAUUUCCUAUAGAUGCAUUCGGUUUGUAGGAAAUGUGUACAGAAAUAUCGUAGGAAUACUAUUCAUUUCCUCUGUUUUUGGAGGAAAUUAUACAUCCACUCAAAGCUCAUUUUACGCGUAGGAACGAGGCGAGUCAAAUCCUUAAGAUGGCAAGUGCCAUGCUAUAAAGUUCCUAUAAUAGUUCUAAUUCCUACAUUAUGAAAUCCUCCAAACCGAAUGAGCCCUUAGAAGGCAAGAGAUGGGUCAAUAGAUGAUCCCUACUUUGCAGCAAUGUGAUGUACGUGUGGAGGAAAGGUCAAUCAAAA
This 1479-nucleotide ribosomal RNA is filed under the name Triticum aestivum (bread wheat). RNAcentral's name for it is "partial small subunit ribosomal RNA". Lineage: Eukaryota; Viridiplantae; Streptophyta; Magnoliopsida; Poales; Poaceae. The record is from RNAcentral.